AUUGAACGCUGGCGGCAUGCUUUACACAUGCAAGUCGAACGGUAACAGGUUAAGCUGACGAGCGGCGAACGGGUGAGUAAUGCAUCGGAACGUGCCCGAUCGUGGGGGAUAACGCAGCGAAAGCUGCGCUAAUACCGCAUACGAUCUGAGGAUGAAAGCGGGGGACCGUAAGGCCUCGCGCGAUCGGAGCGGCCGAUGUCAGAUUAGGUAGUUGGUGGGGUAAAGGCUCACCAAGCCAACGAUCUGUAGCUGGUCUGAGAGGACGACCAGCCACACUGGGACUGGGACACGGCCCAGACUCCUACGGGAGGCAGCAGUGGGGAAUUUUGGACAAUGGGCGAAAGCCUGAUCCAGCAAUGCCGCGUGCAGGAAGAAGGCCUUCGGGUUGUAAACUGCUUUUGUACGGAGCGAAAAGGCUCUCUCUAAUACAGGGGGCUCAUGACGGUACCGUAAGAAUAAGCACCGGCUAACUACGUGCCAGCCGCCGCGGUAA
RNAcentral lists this ribosomal RNA (493 nucleotides) under uncultured bacterium. RNAcentral's name for it is "partial 16S ribosomal RNA". It matches the Rfam family "Bacterial small subunit ribosomal RNA", at positions 29 to 523 of the family's 1533-position model. The record is from RNAcentral.